CAUUUUGAGGGCGAAGAUGAAGAACAGGCCUGGUUUGUCUCCCAGGCUAUCUUUUGAAUAUUCUCGUUAGUGCAAAGGAAAACGUCAUUCAGUCAGCGCUUGCUGACUGCGGUCUAUAUAAGGUGUGGAGGGUGGAAACACGAAGGAUUACAGGGUCCCCGCCCUCCAAAGACUUCGAGUCCCUUAGGAAAAAUAAGAUGGGGCACCGAGAACUAAAACUAUAGGAGAAAAAGGAUCUGGUGAUUACUUCUCGCAGGAGAGCCAGAUGGAGGGUGAGGUGGGAGAGAAUUAGGGGACAUGUUUUAAGAAUUGUACUGUUAUACAGUGUUGCAGAUGCUGAUACCACGUUGCGAAUGUUGGGACCAGUAGUCCUCUAGUUGUCACUCUUGGUGCCCUCGUAUAGCUUUUUAACCAUAAGCUGACAGAUUUGCCAAGCAGAUACCAGGAAGGAGUGGGUCUGAGGGCUAGGCAUGGAGUCUGGAAGGUAGGGCUGAGUUUCUGGCCAAGCUAACUUGGUUACUCACUGGGUCUCCGUUUUCCUCUUUCUUAGUAAAAUGGAAAGACUUGCCCCCAGGAAUAUGUGAAAAUAGAUGAGACAUUGGAUGAGAAAGAGAAUAGGUUGUUUUGGAAGAGUGUAUGAGAAUAGGGCAUCAUAAACUAGUUGUUCCUUGGCCCUUGUGAUUUUAUUUAGUAAGUCCUUUGGAGUUCUUCAUAUUUAUUAAAAUCCAUCCAGGCAGGAUUCAUGCCGGGUAUUGGUUUGCUUUCUGCAGGAGAAAGCUUCGGGCUGAUGUGACGGCUGCUUUCCCCACUCUUGGAACAGAUCAGGUCUCUGCGUUAGUACCUGGAAAGGAAGAGCUCAACAUUUUGAAGUUGUAUGCUCACAGAGGGGAUGCAGUGACUGUGUAUGUGUGUGGUGGUAACCCCAUCCUGUUUGAACUGGAAAAGAAUCUAUAUCCAACAGAGCUGCCGACGCCUACUUUGUCACGCGGGGCAGUUCUUCCCCAAGCUUGGCUGCAGCCGCGCAAUGCGUCUCCUUAGGUUACCUGUGCCCCCGCUGCACUUUGCGGCUGUACACACAGAGGCCCCUUUUGAUCUAAGGUUUUACUGCUAAUCACUGUGAACACAGAGGGAAUAAAAAUAAUAAACAUGGGGAAAUUUCA
RNAcentral lists this long non-coding RNA (1160 nucleotides) under Ursus maritimus (polar bear). RNAcentral describes it as "lncRNA (ENSUMAG00000000788.1)". The record is from RNAcentral. Lineage: Eukaryota; Metazoa; Chordata; Mammalia; Carnivora; Ursidae.